GAGUUUGAUCCUGGCUCAGAUUGAACGCUGGCGGCAGGCCUAACACAUGCAAGUCGAACGGUAACAGGAAGAAGCUUGCUUCUUUGCUGACGAGUGGCGGACGGGUGAGUAAUGUCUGGGAAACUGCCUGAUGGAGGGGGAUAACUACUGGAAACGGUAGCUAAUACCGCAUAACGUCGCAAGACCAAAGAGGGGGACCUUCGGGCCUCUUGCCAUCGGAUGUGCCCAGAUGGGAUUAGCUAGUAGGUGGGGUAACGGCUCACCUAGGCGACGAUCCCUAGCUGGUCUGAGAGGAUGACCAGCCACACUGGAACUGAGACACGGUCCAGACUCCUACGGGAGGCAGCAGUGGGGAAUAUUGCACAAUGGGCGCAAGCCUGAUGCAGCCAUGCCGCGUGUAUGAAGAAGGCCUUCGGGUUGUAAAGUACUUUCAGCGGGGAGGAAGGGAGUAAAGUUAAUACCUUUGCUCAUUGACGUUACCCGCAGAAGAAGCA
This 494-nucleotide ribosomal RNA is filed under the name uncultured bacterium. RNAcentral's name for it is "bacterial SSU rRNA". It matches the Rfam family "Bacterial small subunit ribosomal RNA", at positions 9 to 492 of the family's 1533-position model. The record is from RNAcentral.